Molecule: ribosomal RNA, 520 nt
Filed under: uncultured bacterium
Lineage: Bacteria
Description: bacterial SSU rRNA
Rfam family: Archaeal small subunit ribosomal RNA
Source: RNAcentral
AACCUCCGCAAUGUGAGAAAUCGCGACGGGGGGAUCCCAAGUGCCAUUCUUAACGGGAUGGCUUUUCUUAAGUGUAAAAAGCUUUUGGAAUAAGAGCUGGGCAAGACCGGUGCCAGCCGCCGCGGUAACACCGGCAGCUCUAGUGGUAGCUGUUUUUAUUGGGCCUAAAGCGUUCGUAGCCGGUUUGAUAAGUCACUGGUGAAAUCCUGUAGCUUAACUGUGGGAAUUGCUGGUGAUACUGUUGAACUUGAGGUCGGGAGAGGUUAGCGGUACUCCCAGGGUAGAGGUGAAAUUCUGUAAUCCUGGGAGGACCACCUGUGGCGAAGGCGGCUAACUGGAACGAACCUGACGGUGAGGGACGAAAGCUAGGGGCGCGAACCGGAUUAGAUACCCGGGUAGUCCUAGCCGUAAACGAUGCGGACUUGGUGUUGGGAUGGCUUUGAGCCGCUCCGGUGCCGAAGGGAGCUGUUAAGUCCGCCGCCUGGGGAGUACGGUCGCAAGACUGAAACUUAAAGGAAGU